CAAUAGCGUAUAUUAAAGUUGUUGCAGUUAAAAAGCUCGUAGUUGGAUUUCUGGUAGGAGUGACCGUGCCAGACUUGAUUGUCUGUGUAUUGUGUUUUCUCCAGCCAUCCUUGUGGAGAACUUUUCUUGCAUUAAUUUGUAGGGAUUGGGACCCGCAUCGUUUACUGUGAAAAAAUUAGAGUGUUUAAAGCAGGCAAUCGCUUGAAUACAUUAGCAUGGAAUAAUAAGAUAGGACUUUGGUACUAUUUUGUUGGUUUGCAUACCAAAUUAAUGAUCAACAGGAACAGUUUGAGGAUAUUCGUAUGAACAUGUCAGAGGUGAAAUUCUUGGAUUUUGAUCAGACGAACUACUGCGAAAGCAUUUAUCAAGGAUGUUUUCAUUAA
This 383-nucleotide ribosomal RNA is filed under the name uncultured eukaryote. RNAcentral describes it as "partial 18S ribosomal RNA". It matches the Rfam family "Eukaryotic small subunit ribosomal RNA", at positions 592 to 976 of the family's 1831-position model. The record is from RNAcentral.